GGCACAGUGGCGGAGUGGUCUAACGCGUGUGACUCGAACCUUCUAUCUAGACUCGUAAUCUACGAUAGUGAUAGUGUCCAUCACAUCUCUUCGGAGGCGCCCGUUCGAAUCGGGCCUGUGUCG
Non-coding RNA from Hypoxylon sp. FL0543, 123 nucleotides. The record is from the annotation of a GenBank genome assembly. NCBI's taxonomy places the organism in Eukaryota, Fungi, Ascomycota, Sordariomycetes, Xylariales, Hypoxylaceae.